This 427-nucleotide ribosomal RNA is filed under the name uncultured beta proteobacterium. RNAcentral describes it as "bacterial SSU rRNA". It matches the Rfam family "Bacterial small subunit ribosomal RNA", at positions 355 to 774 of the family's 1533-position model. The record is from RNAcentral. Lineage: Bacteria; Pseudomonadati; Pseudomonadota; Betaproteobacteria.
UAAGGAAUAUUGGACAAUGGGCGAAAGCCUGAUCCAGCCAUGCCGCGUGAGUGAAGAAGGCCUUCGGGUUGUAAAGCUCUUUUAGUCGGAAAGAAAGAGUUGCAAUGAAUAAUUGUGAUUUAUGACGGUACCGACAGAAAAAGCACCGGCUAACUACGUGCCAGCAGCCGCGGUAAUACGUAGGGUGCGAGCGUUAAUCGGAAUUACUGGGCGUAAAGGGUGCGCAGGCGGUCUUGCAAGUCAGAUGUGAAAGCCCCGGGCUUAACCUGGGAAUUGCGUUUGAAACUACAAGACUAGAGUGCAGCAGAGGGGAGUGGAAUUCCAUGUGUAGCAGUGAAAUGCGUAGAGAUGUGGAAGAACACCGAUGGCGAAGGCAGCUCCCUGGGUUGACACUGACGCUCAUGCACGAAAGCGUGGGGAGCAAACA